Molecule: ribosomal RNA, 711 nt
Filed under: uncultured bacterium
Lineage: Bacteria
Description: bacterial SSU rRNA
Rfam family: Bacterial small subunit ribosomal RNA
Source: RNAcentral
AGAGUUUGAUCCUGGCUCAGGGNUUAACGCUGGCGGCGCGCAUAACACAUGCAAGUCGAGCGAGGGCUUACUUCUCGCAAGAGAGGUGAGUUCCUAGCGGCGAACGGGUGAGUAACACGUGGGCAACCUUUCCUAUCGCGGGGGAUAACACCGGGAAACCGAUGCUAAUACCGCAUGUCGUCACUGAUCGCAUGGUUGGUGAAGAAAGCAGCAAUGCACGAUGGGGUGGGCCCGCGGCCUAUCAGCUAGUCGGUGGGGUAACGGCCUACCGAGGCGAUGACGGGUAGCUGGUCUGAGAGGACGGCCAGCCACACGGGGACUGAGACACGGCCCCGACUCCUACGGGAGGCAGCAGUGAGGAAUCUUCCGCAAUGGGCGAAAGCCUGACGGAGCGACGCCGCGUGUGGGAUGAAGUCUUUCGGGAUGUAAACCACUGUCGGAGGGGAAGACAAAAAAGACGGUACCCUCCAAGAAAGCCCCGGCUAACUACGUGCCAGCAGCCGCGGUAAUACGUAGGGGGCAAGCGUUAUCCAGAUUUACUGGGCGUAAAGCGCGUGUAGGCGGCUGGUUAGGCGUGAUGUGAAAUCUUCCGGCUCAACCGGAAAACUGCAUUGCGAACCGGCCUGGCUAGAGUGCAGGAGAGGGAAGCGGAAUUCCAGGUGUAGCGGUGAAAUGCGUAGAUNUCUGGNAGGAACACCAGUGGCGAAGGCG